Molecule: ribosomal RNA, 501 nt
Filed under: uncultured Glomus
Lineage: Eukaryota; Fungi; Glomeromycota; Glomeromycetes; Glomerales; Glomeraceae
Description: SSU rRNA
Rfam family: Eukaryotic small subunit ribosomal RNA
Source: RNAcentral
AGCAGCCGCGGUAAUUCCAGCUCCAAUAGCGUAUAUUAAAGUUGCUGCAGUUAAAAAGCUCGUAGUUGAAUUUCGGGACCAUCAUGUCGGUCGUGCCUCGGUACGUACUGGCAUUGUUGGUUUCUCCCUUCUGACGAACCAUGAUGUCAUUUAUUUGGUGUCAUGGGAAAUCAGGACUGUUACUUUGAAAAAAUUAGAGUGUUUAAAGCAGGCUCACGCUUGAAUACAUUAGCAUGGAAUAAUGAAAUAGGACGUUUGAUUCUAUUUUGUUGGUUUCUAGGAUCGACGUAAUGAUUAAUAGGGAUAGUUGGGGGCAUUAGUAUUCAAUUGUCAGAGGUGAAAUUCUUGGAUUUAUUGAAGACUAACUACUGCGAAAGCAUUUGCCAAGGAUGUUUUCAUUAAUCAAGAACGAAAGUUAGGGGAUCGAAGACGAUCAGAUACCGUCGUAGUCUUAACCAUAAACUAUGCCGACUAGGGAUCGGAUGAUGUAAUUUUUAAUGA